This 583-nucleotide ribosomal RNA is filed under the name uncultured bacterium. Its description in RNAcentral is "partial 16S ribosomal RNA". It matches the Rfam family "Bacterial small subunit ribosomal RNA", at positions 355 to 935 of the family's 1533-position model. The record is from RNAcentral.
UGGGGAAUUUUGGACAAUGGGCGAAAGCCUGAUCCAGCAAUGCCGCGUGUGUGAAGAAGGCCUUCGGGUUGUAAAGCACUUUUGUCCGGAAAGAAAUCCUUGGCUCUAAUACAGUCGGGGGAUGACGGUACCGGAAGAAUAAGCACCGGCUAACUACGUGCCAGCAGCCGCGGUAAUACGUAGGGUGCAAGCGUUAAUCGGGAUUACUGGGCGUAAAGCGUGCGCAGGCGGUUUGCUAAGACCGAUGUGAAAUCCCCGGGCUCAACCUGGGAACUGCAUUGGUGACUGGCAGGCUAGAGUAUGGCAGAGGGGGGUAGAAUUCCACGUGUAGCAGUGAAAUGCGUAGAGAUGUGGAGGAAUACCGAUGGCGAAGGCAGCCCCCUGGGCCAAUACUGACGCUCAUGCACGAAAGCGUGGGGAGCAAACAGGAUUAGAUACCCUGGUAGUCCACGCCCUAAAACGAUGUCAACUAGUUGUUGGGGAUUCAUUUCCUUAGUAACGUAGCUAACGCGUGAAGUUGACCGCCUGGGGAGUACGGUCGCAAGAUUAAAACUUAAAGGAAUUGACGGGGUCAUAGCUGUUU